RNAcentral lists this transfer RNA (88 nucleotides) under Thermofilum sp. ex4484_15. RNAcentral describes it as "tRNA-Ser". It matches the Rfam family "tRNA". Rfam says of the family: Transfer RNA (tRNA) molecules are approximately 80 nucleotides in length. Their secondary structure includes four short double-helical elements and three loops (D, anti-codon, and T loops). Further hydrogen bonds mediate the characteristic L-shaped molecular structure. tRNAs have two regions of fundamental functional importance: the anti-codon, which is responsible for specific mRNA codon recognition, and the 3' end, to which the tRNAs corresponding amino acid is attached (by aminoacyl-tRNA synthetases). tRNAs cope with the degeneracy of the genetic code in two manners: having more than one tRNA (with a specific anti-codon) for a particular amino acid; and 'wobble' base-pairing, i.e. permitting non-standard base-pairing at the 3rd anti-codon position. The record is from RNAcentral. RNAcentral also lists the same sequence under 1 other name. Lineage: Archaea; Thermoproteati; Thermoproteota; Thermoprotei; Thermofilales; Thermofilaceae.
GCCGCGGUCGCCUAGCCUGGUUAGGGCGGAGGGUUGCUAACCCUCUGGGGGAAACCCCACGUGGGUUCAAAUCCCACCCGCGGCGCCA